RNAcentral lists this ribosomal RNA (497 nucleotides) under uncultured bacterium. RNAcentral's name for it is "partial 16S ribosomal RNA". It matches the Rfam family "Bacterial small subunit ribosomal RNA", at positions 28 to 507 of the family's 1533-position model. The record is from RNAcentral.
GAUGAACGCUGGCGGCGUGCCUAAUACAUGCAAGUCGAGCGAACAGACGAGGAGCUUGCUCCUCUGACGUUAGCGGCGGACGGGUGAGUAACACGUGGAUAACCUACCUAUAAGACUGGGAUAACUUCGGGAAACCGGAGCUAAUACCGGAUAAUAUGUUGAACCGCAUGGUUCAAUAGUGAAAGACGGUUUUGCUGUCACUUAUAGAUGGAUCCGCGCCGCAUUAGCUAGUUGGUAAGGUAACGGCUUACCAAGGCGACGAUGCGUAGCCGACCUGAGAGGGUGAUCGGCCACACUGGAACUGAGACACGGUCCAGACUCCUACGGGAGGCAGCAGUAGGGAAUCUUCCGCAAUGGGCGAAAGCCUGACGGAGCAACGCCGCGUGAGUGAUGAAGGUCCUCGGAUCGUAAAACUCUGUUAUUAGGGAAGAACAAAUGUGUAAGUAACUAUGCACGUCUUGACGGUACCUAAUCAGAAAGCCACGGCUAACUACGUG